This 404-nucleotide ribosomal RNA is filed under the name uncultured bacterium. Its description in RNAcentral is "bacterial SSU rRNA". It matches the Rfam family "Bacterial small subunit ribosomal RNA", at positions 355 to 776 of the family's 1533-position model. RNAcentral also lists the same sequence under 1 other name. The record is from RNAcentral.
UAGGGAAUAUUGCUCAAUGGGGGAAACCCUGAAGCAGCAACGCCGCGUGGAGGAUGAAGGUUUUCGGAUUGUAAACUCCUUUUCUAAGAGAAGAUUAUGACGGUAUCUUAGGAAUAAGCACCGGCUAACUCCGUGCCAGCAGCCGCGGUAAUACGGAGGGUGCAAGCGUUACUCGGAAUCACUGGGCGUAAAGAGCGCGUAGGCGGGAUAGCAAGUCAGAUGUGAAAUCCUAUGGCUUAACCAUAGAACUGCAUUUGAAACUGUUAUUCUAGAGUAUGGGAGAGGUAGGUGGAAUUCUUGGUGUAGGGGUAAAAUCCGUAGAGAUCAAGAGGAAUACUCAUUGCGAAGGCGACCUGCUGGAACAUAACUGACGCUGAUGCGCGAAAGCGUGGGGAGCAAACAGG